RNAcentral lists this ribosomal RNA (484 nucleotides) under uncultured bacterium. RNAcentral's name for it is "partial 16S ribosomal RNA". It matches the Rfam family "Bacterial small subunit ribosomal RNA", at positions 30 to 507 of the family's 1533-position model. The record is from RNAcentral.
AUUGAACGCUGGCGGCAGGCCUAACACAUGCAAGUCGAGCGGAUGAAGGGAGCUUGCUCCUGGAUUCAGCGGCGGACGGGUGAGUAAUGCCUAGGAAUCUGCCUGGUAGUGGGGGAUAACGUCCGGAAACGGGCGCUAAUACCGCAUACGUCCUGAGGGAGAAAGUGGGGGAUCUUCGGACCUCACGCUAUCGGAUGAGCCUAGGUCGGAUUAGCUAGUUGGUGGGGUAAAGGCCUACCAAGGCGACGAUCCGUAACUGGUCUGAGAGGAUGAUCAGUCACACUGGAACUGAGACACGGUCCAGACUCCUACGGGAGGCAGCAGUGGGGAAUAUUGGACAAUGGGCGAAAGCCUGAUCCAGCCAUGCCGCGUGUGUGAAGAAGGUCUUCGGAUUGUAAAGCACUUUAAGUUGGGAGGAAGGGCAGUAAGUUAAGACCUUGCUGUUUUGACGUUACCAACAGAAUAAGCACCGGCUAACUUCGUG